GAGGAUAUAGCUCAAGUGGUAGAGCGCUUACUUAGCAUUCAUGAGGUCCUGGGUUCAAUCCCUAGUAUCUCCC
Molecule: transfer RNA, 73 nt
Filed under: Camelus ferus (Wild Bactrian camel)
Lineage: Eukaryota; Metazoa; Chordata; Mammalia; Artiodactyla; Camelidae
Rfam family: tRNA
About the family: Transfer RNA (tRNA) molecules are approximately 80 nucleotides in length. Their secondary structure includes four short double-helical elements and three loops (D, anti-codon, and T loops).
Source: Rfam by way of RNAcentral